GCCCCUCCGGAGUCUGCACACACCCCCAGUGAGCGCAUGACCUAUUGAGUGUGAGUGUCGAGUGAUUGGGAGGAUUGAGUGGAUUAAUACUCUGAGAGUAUGCAUAUGGUUGUUCACUAUGUUGUACUGCAUUGACAUGCGCACUUGACAUACAAGCAUAAAGAUGCAUUUUUCCUCAUGUUGUACGGCAUCAUUUCAUUCAUGACUUCUCAUACACAUUGACAUGCAGGCAUAGAGAUGUACUUUUCCUCAUGCCAUUUGAUAUUGAAAGAUUUACCUGUUGAAAUGUUUUGGAAGGAAAAUCACGAUUUUACAAACUUACUCAUAUUUUGGUAUUUUCGGUAAAAGAUUUGGGUUUUCACUGUUAUACUACACUUCUGCACCUUGCGUACAAAUAUUGAAUAUUGAUGUUGUUGUGAUCGACGUGAGCGGAUUUGAAGACAUACCUAUAUUCUGUUGGUAGCUGCCUCUUGUACAUGGCAGACUUAAAUUUAUAAAAAUCUGUUUAUGUACAUUUCGAACAUAUUAUGUACUUAUUUCAUAUCAACUUUAUAAAUUCUAAUCUUAGAAGCUCAUGAUUUGUACUACCAGUCCUUGGGAAUUCUUGUAUAAAAGCAGUUUUAUUAUCCUUUCUUUUCUUAAUAAAUCUUAUCUAAAUUGGAUAGUUGUUAAUUGGCUUACCUGAUGGGUUGGGUUAGGUGCCAUCACGGCUAAGUGGAUUGUGAAGUUAUUGAUACUAUGGCACGUGAGUUGUCCAUGCAGCACGUGAGUUGUCCAUGCGGAUUAUAGUGCUUGGGCUGAAGGAGCUCCUCCGGAGUCUGCACAUACCCCAAGUGAGCGCAUGUACCUAUUGAGUGCGAGUGCUGAGUGAUUGGAAGGACAGAGUGGA
This 889-nucleotide long non-coding RNA is filed under the name Nicotiana tabacum (common tobacco). RNAcentral describes it as "long non-coding RNA (NTAB_LNC014759)". Lineage: Eukaryota; Viridiplantae; Streptophyta; Magnoliopsida; Solanales; Solanaceae. The record is from RNAcentral.